UACAGAGGGUGCAAGCGUUGUUCGGAAUUACUGGGCGUAAAGGGUGCGUAGGCGGCCUGACAAGUCUGAUGUGAAAUCCCUGGGCUCAACCCAGGGCCUGCAUCGGAAACUGUCGGGCUUGAGUAUGGGAGAGGUGAGUGGAAUUUCCGGUGUAGCGGUGAAAUGCGUAGAUAUCGGAAGGAACACCUGUGGCGAAAGCGGACUCGCUGGACCAUUACUGACGCUGAGGCACGAAAGCUAGGGGAGCAACAGG
Molecule: ribosomal RNA, 253 nt
Filed under: uncultured bacterium
Lineage: Bacteria
Description: partial 16S ribosomal RNA
Rfam family: Bacterial small subunit ribosomal RNA
Source: RNAcentral